Molecule: long non-coding RNA, 1879 nt
Organism: Delphinapterus leucas (beluga whale)
Lineage: Eukaryota; Metazoa; Chordata; Mammalia; Artiodactyla; Monodontidae
Source: RefSeq, a predicted model, not a curated record
ACAAAACUUCAGGGGUGUACGACAAUGAACAUUUACUGUUGCUCCUGAAUCCCUGGGUUGGCUGAGCCGUUCUGCUGAUCUGGGCCAACAUCUCACGUGUGAUCUGAUGUGUCUGCAGUCAGCUGGGGUCGUCAACUCUACUCCGUGGGGCUUCUCAUCCUCGAGCAGGCUAGCCUGGGCUACUUCACAUGGCAAUGGGAGGGGAUCCCACAGGAGCCCCUGAGGCCUGGGCUCAGAUCUGACACACCAUCACUUCUACAAUCCCAGGUGAGCCACGGCCCCAGUGUCCAAAGCCAAGUACAGAGCCACGGGUCACCAGGAGGAUGGCCUUUCACCAUCUCCCAGGAAAAUGUUUCUCCAGGCAGCUAUGCCAAUGGUGGAAAAGAAAGUCAAUGUGGACAAGCAAGUGCAAGAUUUACUAUCCAGUCCAUUUUCACCAAAGCCUGGGGGAGAAAACAGAGUAACCAGCCUCGUUCCCUGUUCUGAGCUCAUGGUGCGAGAAGGGACCUCCGCCUCCGUUCUCCAGCCCUCCUUCAGCUCAACCCAGGAUGUGCUGUCAAGGAUCUGGGGUCAGACGCAGUGCCAAGGCCGGGGGCACAGGAUCUGCAGUCAUCAGUCGCCCCUGAGAGCUCUAUCGUUGCAUCUGUGUGGUGCUUUCAGCUCGGAGUUCUCUCUGCUGCUUCCUCUCCAGGCGUGGGACACAGGGGUCUCUGGUGAGGCUGGGAGCCCAAAUCCCUUUGGUCUUAUGUCCUUGACAUACCAUGUACCCAUUUCUCCCUGGGUCAUUCUGUCUUCCCACUGCUCCAGGGGUCCACUGGCCACUCUCUCAUAGUGCAGCCCAGGGGAUAUCUCUUUUUCUUAGUCUGAGGGAAGCCCCUCUCUCUCUCUUUCCUAAGCCUCCCAAGCCGCUCCGCCUCCUCCCACAAACCCAUCCCUAACACGUUUAGGUUUUCAGAACAAUGACAGAAAUCUCCGGGAUAAUUCUACCUUCAGCUCUGACACAUUCCUCCCCCGAGGCAACCAAACACCAAGCCUGCCACCUGCCUGCAGGGGAAGAAGGAAAAGGGAGAAAAUGCAAAUUAUCCACAAUAUUAUCCAAACACUAGCAUUUAAGAAACUCUGACUACAUGUUCUAUCCACCCAGUCUGUCCUUUCAGGAGCACACCUGUACUCCGAGUGUUGAUGGCCUGUUUUAACUAAGCCUUGAAGAUAUUCACUCGGCCACCAGCUCCCUGCUGGAUCAGCUUGUUGGUGCCAGAGGGUGGGAGGUGGUCUAGGGAGAAAGUAGGCAGAAGAGUCUUUGGAAGCUCAGGAUAGAGCUGGGGCAGGACGCCUCAUGGGUUGACCCCAUCCUGCAGCCUGUUUCCCACAUCAUUCUCUCUCAGGUUUCAGAGAUGCCUCCACCAUGCUGCAGACCAGCGUUAUUCCUAUCCAAUGCCAAGGAGCAAUUCCUUAUUACCUGGCAUUUGAACUUUCUGGAAAGAUGAAUGUUCACAUUCCCUAGUUGUCUGCUCAUGAUGAGCUAGAGCUUAGAUUUCUAACCAAGUGGUCUCUUGGGAUGGGAAGGAUUCCACCAAACUGGGUUCUCACUGGGUCUGAGUAAAACUAGUCUCGGGAGUGGAAGUGUUGACAGCUGGAUUCCUCAUCCAGCAUCCCGGUGACACCAGCCUCUGCUCAACUGCCUCCAUGUGAUGGGAAACUUAUUACUUCCAGGACAGUCCAUUUUGGCUAGAGAUCAUUUUGACUACAAGACUUUUUUCCCUAAUAAAAGCUAUCUUUAAACCAAAUAUGAGUCCAUAUAUCUCUCCCUUGAACAUAUUUUCCUUUAAUGCAAAAAGAGUUGGAAAAUCAGAAAAUAAAGGUCUUUACAAGAACUAGA